UACGUAGGUGGCGAGCGUUGUCCGGAUUUACUGGGCGUAAAGGGAGCGUAUGCGGACUUUAAGUGAGAUGUGAAAUACUCGGGCUCAACUUGAGUGCUGCAUUUCAAACUGGAAGUCUAGAGUGCAGGAGAGGAGAAUGGAAUUCCUAGUGUAGCGGUGAAAUGCGUAGAGAUUAGGAAGAACACCAGUGGCGAAGGCGAUUCUCUGGACUGUAACUGACGCUGAGGCUCGAAAGCGUGGGGAGCAAACAGG
This 252-nucleotide ribosomal RNA is filed under the name uncultured bacterium. Its description in RNAcentral is "partial 16S ribosomal RNA". It matches the Rfam family "Bacterial small subunit ribosomal RNA", at positions 524 to 776 of the family's 1533-position model. The record is from RNAcentral.